RNAcentral lists this ribosomal RNA (434 nucleotides) under uncultured bacterium. RNAcentral's name for it is "partial 16S ribosomal RNA". It matches the Rfam family "Bacterial small subunit ribosomal RNA", at positions 29 to 507 of the family's 1533-position model. The record is from RNAcentral.
AGCGAACGCUGGCGGCAGGCCUAACACAUGCAAGUCGAACGAACCUUUCGGGGUUAGUGGCGGACGGGUGAGUAACACGUGGGAACGUGCCUUUAGGUUCGGAAUAACUCAGGGAAACUUGUGCUAAUACCGAAUGUGCCCUUCGGGGGAAAGAUUUAUCGCCUUUAGAGCGGCCCGCGUCUGAUUAGCUAGUUGGUUGAGGUAAUGGCUCACCAAGGCGACGAUCAGUAGCUGGUCUGAGAGGAUGAUCAGCCACAUUGGGACUGAGACACGGUCCAAACUCCUACGUGAGGCAGCAGUGGGGAAUCUUGCGCAAUGGGCGAAAGCCUGACGCAGCCAUGCCGCGUGAAUGAUGAAGGUCUUAGGAUUGUAAAAUUCUUUCACCGGGGACGAUAAUGACGGUACCCGGAGAAGAAGCCCCGGCUAACUUCGUG